Molecule: transfer RNA, 90 nt
Filed under: Candidatus Amesbacteria bacterium RIFCSPHIGHO2_01_FULL_48_32
Lineage: Bacteria; Candidatus Amesiibacteriota
Also listed under: 1 other name
Description: tRNA-Ser
Rfam family: tRNA
About the family: Transfer RNA (tRNA) molecules are approximately 80 nucleotides in length.
Source: RNAcentral
GGAAGGGUGCGAGAGUGGUUUAAUCGGCACGCUUGGAGAGCGUGUGUGGGCGCAAGCUCACCGAGGGUUCGAAUCCCUCCCCUUCCGCUA